UAGGGAAUUUUCCACAAAUGGGCGCAAGCCUGAUGGAGCAACGCCGCGGGAGUGAAGAAGGGUUUCGGCUCGUAAAGCUCUGUUGUUAAAGAAGAACACGUAUGAGAGUAACUGUUCAUACGUUUGACGGUAUUUAACCAGAAAGUCACGGCUAACUACGUGCCAGCAGCCGCGGUAAUACGUAGGUGGCAAGCGUUAUCCGGAUUUAUUGGGCGUAAAGAGAGUGCAGGCGGUUUUCUAAGUCUGAUGUGAAAGCCUUCGGCUUAACCGGAGAAGUGCAUCGGAAACUGGAUAACUUGAGUGCAGAAGAGGGUAGUGGAACUCCAUGUGUAGCGGUGGAAUGCGUAGAUAUAUGGAAGAACACCAGUGGCGAAAGCGGCUCUCUGGUCUGUAACUGACGCUGAGGCUCGAAAGCGUGGGGAGCGAACAGGAUUAGAUACCCUGGUAGUCCACGCCGUAAACGAUGAGUGCUAGGUGUUAGGUCCUUUCCGGGACUUAGUGCCGCAGCUAACGCAUUAAGCACUCCGCCUGGGGAGUACGACCGCAAGGUUG
This 552-nucleotide ribosomal RNA is filed under the name uncultured bacterium. Its description in RNAcentral is "bacterial SSU rRNA". It matches the Rfam family "Bacterial small subunit ribosomal RNA", at positions 355 to 896 of the family's 1533-position model. The record is from RNAcentral.